Molecule: ribosomal RNA, 894 nt
Filed under: Triticum aestivum (bread wheat)
Lineage: Eukaryota; Viridiplantae; Streptophyta; Magnoliopsida; Poales; Poaceae
Description: partial small subunit ribosomal RNA
Source: RNAcentral
AUGGCGUCGAGGGCUGUGAAGGUGGCGCUGCUGCUCGCGGCGGUGGCGACGACGUGCGCGCUGGCGCAGCUCCACGAGAAGUUCUACGGCGAGACGUGCCCCAGCGUGGAGGAUGUCGUGAGGAAGGAGAUGGGGUGCGACGGCUCGGUUCUGCUGGACUCGGCCAACAAGACGGCGGAGAAGGAUACGCAGCCGAACCAGACGCUGCGAGGCUUCGGCUUUGUCGAGAGGGUGAAGGCCGCGGUGGAGAAGGCCUGCCCCGACACCGUCUCCUGCGCCGACAUCCUCGCCCUCAUUGCCAGGGACGCAGUAUGGCUGGUGAGUAGAGUACCAGGCCAUUUUGCAAAUGACACGCGUGUCCAUUUCCAACGAGACCGACGCUCUGCCACCCCGACCCCCAACUUCACCGUGCUCACCCAGCUCUUCGCCGCUGUGAACCUCGACGCCAAGGACCUCGUCGUCCUGUCCGCCGGGCACACGAUCGGGACGUCGCACUGCUUCUCCUUCUCCGACUGGCUCUACAACUUCACCGGCAUGGAGAACCCCAGCGACAUCGACCCCACGCUAGAGCCGCAGUACAUGAUGCGGCUCAAGAGCAAGUGUGCAAGCCUCAACGACAACACCACCCUCGUGGAGAUGGACCCCGGCAGCUUCAAGACCUUCGACACCGACUACUUCAAGCUGGUGAGCAAGCGGAGGGGCCUCUUCCACUCCGACGGCGCCCUCCUCACCGACCCCUUCACCCGCGCCUACGUCCAGCGCCAUGCCACCGGUGCCUUCAAGAACGAGUUCUUCGCCCACUUCGCCGACUCCAUGAUCAAGAUGGGCAACGCCAACCCGCUCACCGGAAGCCAAGGUGAGAUCAGAAAGAAGUGCAGCGUGGUCAACCAUUAA